UACGUAGGGGGCAAGCGUUGUUCGGAAUUACUGGGCGUAAAGGGCGCGUAGGCGGCAUGGCAAGUCAGGAGUGAAAGGCCUGGGCUCAACCGAGGAACUGCUUUUGAUACUGCCAAGCUAGAGUGCGGAAGGGGCAACUGGAAUUCCCAGUGUAGCGGUGAAAUGCGUAGAUAUUGGGAAGAACACCUGAGGCGAAGGCGGCCCACUGGAUCGGUACUGACGCUGAGGUGCGAAAGCGUGGGGAGCAAACAGG
This 253-nucleotide ribosomal RNA is filed under the name uncultured bacterium. RNAcentral's name for it is "partial 16S ribosomal RNA". It matches the Rfam family "Bacterial small subunit ribosomal RNA", at positions 524 to 776 of the family's 1533-position model. The record is from RNAcentral.